GCCGGGCGCAGUGACAUAUGCCUGUAAUCCCAGCAGUUUGGGAGGCUGAGGCUGGAGGUUAACAAGUUCAAAGUGAAGUGCUAAGCAACUCAGUGAGACCCUGUCUCUA
RNAcentral lists this small RNA (109 nucleotides) under Marmota monax (woodchuck). The record is from RNAcentral. Lineage: Eukaryota; Metazoa; Chordata; Mammalia; Rodentia; Sciuridae.